CGAAGGGUGCAAGCGUUGCUCGGAAUUAUUGGGCGUAAAGGGUAGGUAGGUGGUUACGUAUGUCUGGGGUGAAAUCCCUGAGCUCAACUCAGGAAGUGCCUUGGAAACGGCGUAACUAGAGUGCUAGAGAGGUUCGUGGAAUUCCCAGUGUAGCGGUGAAAUGCGUAGAGAUUGGGAGGAACACCAGAGGCGAAGGCGGCGAACUGGAUAGCAACUGACACUGAACUGCGAAAGCGUGGGUAGCAAACAGGAUUAGAUACCCUGGUAGUCCACGCUGUAAACGAUGGGUACUAGGCUUCGUGGGAGUUGACCCCUGCGGAGCCGGAGCUAACGCAAUAAGUACCCCGCCUGGGAAGUACGGUCGCAAGACUA
Molecule: ribosomal RNA, 372 nt
Filed under: uncultured organism
Description: bacterial SSU rRNA
Rfam family: Bacterial small subunit ribosomal RNA
Source: RNAcentral